This 438-nucleotide ribosomal RNA is filed under the name uncultured bacterium. RNAcentral describes it as "bacterial SSU rRNA". It matches the Rfam family "Bacterial small subunit ribosomal RNA", at positions 343 to 797 of the family's 1533-position model. The record is from RNAcentral.
UGGAGGCAGCAGUGGGGAAUUUUGCACAAUGGGCGAAAGCCUGAUGCAGCAACACUGCGUGGAGGAAGACGGCCUUCGGGUUGUAAACUCCUUUUAUCUGGGAAUAAUCUUGAAGGUACCAGAUGAAUAAGCACCGGCUAACUACGUGCCAGCAGCCGCGGUAAUACGUAGGGUGCAAACGUUAUCCGGAUUUAUUGGGCGUAAAGCGCUCGUAGGUGGAUUAGAAAGUCAGAUAUUAAAUAUCCCGGCUCAACUGGGAGCGUGUAUCUGAAACUUCUAGUCUUGAGGUAUGUAGGGGAAGAUGGAACUUGUGGUGUAGCAGUGAAAUGCGUAGAUAUCACAAGGAACGCCAAUGGUGAAGACAGUCUUCUGGACAUUACCUGACACUGAGGAGCGAAAGCGUGGGGAGCGAACGGGAUUAGAUACCCCUGUAGUCAA